RNAcentral lists this ribosomal RNA (514 nucleotides) under uncultured Pseudomonadota bacterium. Its description in RNAcentral is "bacterial SSU rRNA". It matches the Rfam family "Bacterial small subunit ribosomal RNA", at positions 376 to 896 of the family's 1533-position model. The record is from RNAcentral. Lineage: Bacteria; Pseudomonadati; Pseudomonadota.
CGAAAGCCUGACGCAGCCACGCCGCGUGAGUGAUGAAGGCCUUCGGGUUGUAAAGCUCUGUCGGGAGGGACGAAAGGGGCAACCCUUGACGGUACCUCGCAAGAAAGCACCGGCUAACUCUGUGCCAGCAGCCGCGGUAAUACAGAGGGUGCAAGCGUUGCUCGGAUUUACUGGGCGUAAAGCGUACGCAGACGGUAAGAAAGGUCGGAUGUGAAAGCCCCGGGCUCAACCCGGGAACUGCAUCCGAAACCAUCUUGCUAGAGUAUGAGAGAGGGAAGCGGAAUUCCUGGUGUAGAGGUGAAAUUCGUAGAUAUCAGGAGGAACACCGGCGGCGAAGGCGGCUUCCUGGCUCAUUACUGACGUUCAGGUACGAAAGCGUGGGUAGCAAACAGGAUUAGAUACCCUGGUAGUCCACGCCGUAAACGAUGUGUGCUGGAUGUCGGGGGUAUUCACCCCCUCGGUAUCGAAGCUAACGCGAUAAGCACACCGCCUGGGGAGUACGGCCGCAAGGUUG